RNAcentral lists this ribosomal RNA (467 nucleotides) under uncultured bacterium. Its description in RNAcentral is "partial 16S ribosomal RNA". It matches the Rfam family "Bacterial small subunit ribosomal RNA", at positions 28 to 507 of the family's 1533-position model. The record is from RNAcentral.
GAUGAACGCUGGCGGCGUGCUUAACACAUGCAAGUCGAACGGAAAGGCCUCUGCUUGCAGGGGUACUCGAGUGGCGAACGGGUGAGUAACACGUGGGUGAUCUGCCCUGCACUUCGGGAUAAGCCUGGGAAACUGGGUCUAAUACCGGAUAGGACAAUGGCUUGGAUGCUGUUGUGGAAAGUUUUUCGGUGUGGGAUGAGCUCGCGGCCUAUCAGCUUGUUGGUGGGGUAAUGGCCUACCAAGGCGUCGACGGGUAGCCGGCCUGAGAGGGUGUACGGCCACAUUGGGACUGAGAGACGGCCCAGACGCCUACGGGAGGGAGCAGUGGGGAAUAUUGCACAAUGGGCGCAAGCCUGAUGCAGCGACGCCGCGUGGGGGAUGACGGCCUUCGGGUUGUAAACUCCUUUCGCUAGGGACGAAGCGUUUUUGUGACGGUACCUGGAGAAGAAGCACCGGCUAACUACGUG